RNAcentral lists this ribosomal RNA (1371 nucleotides) under uncultured bacterium. RNAcentral describes it as "bacterial SSU rRNA". It matches the Rfam family "Bacterial small subunit ribosomal RNA", at positions 28 to 1381 of the family's 1533-position model. The record is from RNAcentral.
GAUGAACGCUGGCGGCGUGCCUAAUACAUGCAAGUCGAGCGAACGGACGAGAAGCUUGCUUCUCUGAUGUUAGCGGCGGACGGGUGAGUAACACGUGGAUAACCUACCUAUAAGACUGGGAUAACUUCGGGAAACCGGAGCUAAUACCGGAUAAUAUUUUGAACCGCAUGGUUCAAAAGUGAAAGACGGCCUUGCUGUCACUUAUAGAUGGAUCCGCGCUGCAUUAGCUAGUUGGUAAGGUAACGGCUUACCAAGGCAACGAUGCAUAGCCGACCUGAGAGGGUGAUCGGCCACACUGGAACUGGGACACGGUCCAGACUCCUACGGGAGGCAGCAGUAGGGAAUCUUCCGCAAUGGGCGAAAGCCUGACGGAGCAACGCCGCGUGAGUGAUGAAAGUCUUCGGAUCGUAAAACUCUGUUAUUAGGGAAGAACAUAUGUGUAAGUAACUGUGCACAUCUUGACGGUACCUAAUCAGAAAGCCACGGCUAACUACGUGCCAGCAGCCGCGGUAAUACGUANGUGGCAAGCGUUAUCCGGAAUUAUUGGGCGUAAAGCGCGCGUAGGCGGUUUUUUAGUCUGAUGUGAAAGCCCACGGCUCAUCCGUGGAGGGUCAUUGGAAACUGGAAAACUUGAGUGCAGAAGAGGAAAGUGGAAUUCCAUGUGUAGCGGUGAAAUGCGCAGAGAUAUGGAGGAACACCAGUGGCGAAGGCGACUUUCUGGUCUGUAACUGACGCUGAUGUGCGAAAGCGUGGGGAUCAAACAGGAUUAGAUACCCUGGUAGUCCACGCCGUAAACGAUGAGUGCUAAGUGUUAGGGGGUUUCCGCCCCUUAGUGCUGCAGCUAACGCAUUAAGCACUCCGCCUGGGGAGUACGACCGCAAGGUUGAAACUCAAAGGAAUUGACGGGGACCCGCACAAGCGGUGGAGCAUGUGGUUUAAUUCGAAGCAACGCGAAGAACCUUACCAAAUCUUGACAUCCUUUGACAACUCUAGAGAUAGAGCCUUCCCCUUCGGGGGACAAAGUGACAGGUGGUGCAUGGUUGUCGUCAGCUCGUGUCGUGAGAUGUUGGGUUAAGUCCCGCAACGAGCGCAACCCUUAAGCUUAGUUGCCAUCAUUAAGUUGGGCACUCUAAGUUGACUGCCGGUGACAAACCGGAGGAAGGUGGGGAUGACGUCAAAUCAUCAUGCCCCUUAUGAUUUGGGCUACACACGUGCUACAAUGGACAAUACAAAGGGCAGCGAAACCGCGAGGUCAAGCAAAUCCCAUAAAGUUGUUCUCAGUUCGGAUUGUAGUCUGCAACUCGACUACAUGAAGCUGGAAUCGCUAGUAAUCGUAGAUCAGCAUGCUACGGUGAAUACGUUCCCGGGUCU